GGGAGGUACGAGGUCACGUAUGAGACCCGGAUAGUGUCGUGCUUGUAAAUAAUGCGAAAACUUGUACGGCACGCACCGUCGCUGACCAAAAAAUCGUUACGUUAUCAACUAUCACGAAAAAUACUCGGAAACGGGAAUCAUUUUCUUUCUUCCUUUUUUGUUGCCGGUUUAAACUAGCCGGGAAUUUCGAGUUCAACAGAGGGACGUUUUAUGCGAAACUUUAGAAACCAUAAUGAUAUACAGUGUGUUCGGGCUAAAUAUUUCGGCCGGAUGACGUUGGAUUUAAAUUCCAAUUUACAAGCAAUACCGAAGUAUAUGCGGUUUAUGAUAAAUUACA
Molecule: non-coding RNA, 337 nt
Organism: Cinara cedri
Lineage: Eukaryota; Metazoa; Arthropoda; Insecta; Hemiptera; Aphididae
Source: the annotation of a GenBank genome assembly